AAAAUGAAGUACAAAAUAUACCAGUUCUCUUCCAAAUCCUGGUCAUCUUCAUCCCAGAUGGUGACAGGAUUAAGGCAUGGAGGUGCUACGAAAGGGAACUCCGCAGCAUCAGUCAGCGAGGCAGGACCCGUCUCUGUGUACGGUGAAGUAUCCGACGACAGGGACAGACUGUGCAGCGCUGCGGGAGAAAGGAGACGACCAACCUGUGCUCAGAUAGAGCCCUCUGCGAAUGGAAAAGGGGUUGUUCAUCCUGGAGGAGGCUUUUAUUCGGAGCACGUGAACCUCUGGAGGCCAACACCAGCCCGCUCGAGCGCUCCCUAAACCAGCGAUCCCAACGUAGAGCAGCCAGGUGGCAGAGCAGAGGAAUUAGAGCCUCUCACCGGCUGCUCAACACUUCGCCCUGGGAAGCAGCUUCGGCAUCAGCCAAGGAAGCCUGCAAGGAACAAAGUGGGGGCAUAGUGGGAGGGCUGCACCGCAGAUGCGGUACCUGCAUGCUACAGCCCUGUGCACACCUGCACCACUCCCCAAUCAAGUACCUGGAUAACAAAGGGCAUCGAAACAUGAUGCACGAACAUCUUGCUAACUUGACAAGGAACAUACAUCAUUUGACCUGCUACUUUGUCUUAUUCGGCUCAUCUCCCAUUUGGGAAUUGCUCAGUGUCUCUGACAACACGGAAGUUCUCCACAGGGAAGUUUCCACAGGAGUUGGACACAACCCAAACAAAACCUCUAAACAAUCGACCUCCAUCUCCACUCACAGACGCUGCUGCUGA
This 773-nucleotide long non-coding RNA is filed under the name Struthio camelus australis. RNAcentral's name for it is "lncRNA (ENSSCUG00000016143.1)". The record is from RNAcentral. Lineage: Eukaryota; Metazoa; Chordata; Aves; Struthioniformes; Struthionidae.